This 255-nucleotide ribosomal RNA is filed under the name Salmonella enterica subsp. enterica serovar Derby. Its description in RNAcentral is "partial 23S ribosomal RNA". It matches the Rfam family "Bacterial large subunit ribosomal RNA", at positions 528 to 783 of the family's 2925-position model. Lineage: Bacteria; Pseudomonadati; Pseudomonadota; Gammaproteobacteria; Enterobacterales; Enterobacteriaceae. RNAcentral also lists the same sequence under 2 other names. The record is from RNAcentral.
GGCGAGGGGAGUGAAAAAGAACCUGAAACCGUGUACGUACAAGCAGUGGGAGCACAGGUUUACCUGUGUGACUGCGUACCUUUUGUAUAAUGGGUCAGCGACUUAUAUUCUGUAGCAAGGUUAACCGCAUAGGGGAGCCGGAGGGAAACCGAGUCUUAACCGGGCGUUAAGUUGCAGGGUAUAGACCCGAAACCCGGUGAUCUAGCCAUGGGCAGGUUGAAGGUUGGGUAACACUAACUGGAGGACCGAACCGAC